GGCCGCGUAGUGUAGUGGUUAGCACGCAGGAUUUUGACUAAUGAAAAAUUCCUGAGACCUGAGUUCAAUCCUCGGCGGGGCCU
RNAcentral lists this transfer RNA (83 nucleotides) under Annulohypoxylon truncatum. RNAcentral's name for it is "tRNA-Gln". It matches the Rfam family "tRNA". Rfam says of the family: Transfer RNA (tRNA) molecules are approximately 80 nucleotides in length. Their secondary structure includes four short double-helical elements and three loops (D, anti-codon, and T loops). Further hydrogen bonds mediate the characteristic L-shaped molecular structure. tRNAs have two regions of fundamental functional importance: the anti-codon, which is responsible for specific mRNA codon recognition, and the 3' end, to which the tRNAs corresponding amino acid is attached (by aminoacyl-tRNA synthetases). tRNAs cope with the degeneracy of the genetic code in two manners: having more than one tRNA (with a specific anti-codon) for a particular amino acid; and 'wobble' base-pairing, i.e. permitting non-standard base-pairing at the 3rd anti-codon position. Lineage: Eukaryota; Fungi; Ascomycota; Sordariomycetes; Xylariales; Hypoxylaceae. The record is from RNAcentral.